Molecule: long non-coding RNA, 504 nt
Filed under: Dermacentor andersoni
Lineage: Eukaryota; Metazoa; Arthropoda; Arachnida; Ixodida; Ixodidae
Description: uncharacterized LOC126546306
Source: RNAcentral
ACAGUGAGCUCUCUAGAUUGUAAGCUGUUCUGUCCAUCGAUGUGCAGCAGUGGGCUAUUGUAAGCUGUUCUGUCCGACGAUGUGUAGCAGUGGGCGAUCUAGAUUGUAAGCUGUUCUGUCUGUCAAUGUACAACAGGUGGCUGUCUAGAUUGUAAGCUGUUCUGUCCAUCGAUGUGCAGCAGUGGGCUAUUGUAAGCUGUUCUGUCCAUGAAUGUACAACAGUGAGCUGUCUAGAUUGUAAGCUGUUCUGUCCAUCAAUGCACAACAGUGGGCGAUCUAGAUUGUAAGCUGUUCUGUCCAUUGAUGUGCAGCAGUGGGCGGUUUAGAUUGUAAGCUGUUCUGUCCAACGAUGUGCAGCAGUGGGCUGUCUUGAUUGUAAGCUGUUCUGUCCAUGAAUGCACAAAAGUGGGCGAUCUAGAUUGUAAGCUGUUCUGUCCAUUGAUAUGCAGCAGUGGGCUGUUUAGAUUGUAAGCUGUUCUGUCCAACGAUGUGCAGCAGUGGGCU